RNAcentral lists this ribosomal RNA (735 nucleotides) under uncultured Oceanospirillales bacterium. Its description in RNAcentral is "bacterial SSU rRNA". It matches the Rfam family "Bacterial small subunit ribosomal RNA", at positions 8 to 734 of the family's 1533-position model. The record is from RNAcentral. Lineage: Bacteria; Pseudomonadati; Pseudomonadota; Gammaproteobacteria; Oceanospirillales.
AGAGUUUGAUCAUGGCUCAGAUUGAACGCCGGCGGCAGGCUUAACACAUGCAAGUCGAGCGGUAACAGGGGUAGCUUGCUACCCGCUGACGAGCGGCGGACGGGUGAGUAAUGCUUAGGAAUCUGCCUGGUAGUGGGGGAUAGCCCGGGGAAACCCGGAUUAAUACCGCAUACGUCCUACGGGAGAAAGCAGGGGAUCUUCGGACCUUGCGCUAUCGAAUGAGCCUAAGUCGGAUUAGCUAGUUGGUGGGGUAAAGGCCUACCAAGGCGACGAUCCGUAGCUGGUCUGAGAGGAUGAUCAGCCACAUCGGGACUGAGACACGGCCCGAACUCCUACGGGAGGCAGCAGUGGGGAAUCUUGGACAAUGGGGGCAACCCUGAUCCAGCCAUGCCGCGUGUGUGAAGAAGGCCUUCGGGUUGUAAAGCACUUUCAGCAGGGAGGAAGGCUUACCCCUAAUACGGGUGAGUACUUGACGUUACCUGCAGAAGAAGCACCGGCUAAUUUCGUGCCAGCAGCCGCGGUAAUACGAAAGGUGCAAGCGUUAAUCGGAAUUACUGGGCGUAAAGCGCGCGUAGGCGGUGUGUUAAGUCGGAUGUGAAAGCCCAGGGCUCAACCUUGGAAUUGCAUCCGAUACUGGCACGCUAGAGUGCAGUAGAGGGAGGUGGAAUUUCCGGUGUAGCGGUGAAAUGCGUAGAGAUCGGAAGGAACACCAGUGGCGAAGGCGGCCUCCUGGAC